UCCAAUCAUAACAAAAUCCAAAGUAAAAGAUAAUCUAGACCGACACAACGAAGCCUAGAUCAGAGCCGACUAAACUCUAAACACCGAUAUCGGAGAAAGCUCCCGAUAUCCACCAAGCACAAAAACUCACCGAGCAACUAACCCUGCACAACGUCUACCCAUCCAUACAGACAGGUAGGCGGUCAAAACCACUGGGGUUAAGUAUUACAUCAUCAUAAUCCAAAUAACAGUUAACAUGUAUAUUUCAAUUUAAACAUCAUGCACUUGAUCAAUAAUAAUAUUCUCAUACAUAUACUUACAUCAAACCCCAAUAUCUCACAUAAAUAAUCACCAAUCACAUGUGUCAUGAACAAAUAUCAAUUUCCAAUUAUUCAUACACAAUUAUCAAACACAUAUAUCAAUAAGACUCAUGUCAUGAUAUGCACCUAUCGACACAUAUAUGCAUGUGGUACCAAAUCACCUCAAGGUCGUCACCCAUAUCCAGACCACCAAGGGUCUCUGCAAGGCCGAAGCCCAAAAACUAGAUCACGAAGGAUCUCUGCAAGACCGAAGUCCACAACUAGAUCACAAAUGAUCUCUGUAAGGCCGAAGCCCAAAAACUAGAUCACAAAUGAUCUCUGCUAGGCCGAAGCCCAAUAAUGAAUAAAACAUCAUAUAAAAUCUCAACACGACUAUGAUGCAUGAACAUGUACAAGGACUCAAUAAUGCGACAACAAUCCACAAUUUUCACCUCAAUAUAUAGGACAACUUCCAAUUAUAUUGAUUAUCUCCACAACAUUUGCAUUAUCAAGAAAACAUGCCCAUACACAAAUAAAUCAUAAUAUUCACCAUCACACAUUAACAUAAUUAUCAAUAAUCAACAAGGUCAUUCAACAUCAACUAUCACAUAUAGUUUUACCAUUCAAGCAUUUCUUACAUUCUAAGUAAGAUAGCAUGCACAUUUCAUGAUAAACAUCAUAUCCAAUACAAUCAUUCAUUUAUACAACUUCACUUAGUCAUAUAAGAAUAAUCACAACCAUUCAUAAGGUAAUUGACUCAAGAAAACAUUUUUGACCAAAAACCGUAUCAAGUGGCAAACGACCAACAUUGACAAUCCCAAGACAAAACGACGUAGACAAGUUGAAACUUCUCAAACCACCUUAAUCAAUCAUGUAUUCAUGAACUUGAGUCGUCUCCGGACUAUUAAACAUUAAUCCAAGAAUAACUUCAGUUCAUAUGAAAAACCCAAUUUCACAACCUUUCACAUUCCCACCCGAAAUAUCACUUUUUACAUGAUUAAGAUGUUUGACCACACUUACAAGUUUUACCUAAGUCUAUAUGAGCUGUAGGUUCAACUUAUAAGUCCCAAUGUUUGCAAAAGUUUGUUUCCGACAAAAGUCUAAGUUCCAAAAUUCCCAAGUUAAGACUCAAAUGAAGAAUUUCAAGUUUAGGCAACCUAAUCAUGUUCCAGUAGUUUUAGGGGAUUAAACAGUAGUUAAACAUGUUUAAAGAAUCAUUUUAGAAAGCUCGGAUUGGCCCCCAAAGAAUCGGAACAAAAGAUUAAUGUGGCUGAAACUGGACCUGUUCGCUUAAGCGAACGAGUUACAUUGACAAACCACAUUGCAUGCUUUCUGGUCGCUCACCAGUUCGCUUAAGCGACCACAUGUUCACUUAAGCGAACGAGUUCCAGUAGCAACCAGAAAACUUCGCUUACCAGCACGCUAACUGGUCGCUUAAGCGACCUAACCCAGAAAAUCCAUAUGAAUGCUCGCUUAUAGGUUGCUUAAGCGAACCUCUAAGCGAACGUUCACAGUUUUGCAGUAAAUGUUACGGGUUUGAACCCUUUUUCACCCAAAAUCCCCAAUUUUGACCCCUCAUUGCCCAAAUGUGUUUCCAAAACAUGUUUAUAGGUCAAUAUGACUAAAAAGACUCACAAAAACUCAAUCAAACUUGAAAACAUUUGACAAUUGGACCAAUUCCCCAUUUUCAUCGAAACACCAACAACAUCUCAUUUCUCCAUAACAAAAUCAUGAAUCAUGCAACCCAAGCCAUGAAUUAUCAUCAACAACAUGACUAAACAACAACAACAUCUAUUGAUCAUCAACUAGCAACAAUUCAAUUAUUCAUAACUUCAUACAUCUAAACAUGUCAUCACAAUUGGAGCACGAAUUUGAUCAUUUAUGAACAAUUAAUCAAUUCAUCCAAUUAAGCACUUUUCAUACAAAUAAUUGAAAAUUAUAAUAAUGAUUAUGAUGAAUUCUAACCCCCUUACCUUAGUAGGUUAAUCUCUCUAGCUUAGGCUUCAAUUUUGCUCCUAGCUCUUCU
This 2304-nucleotide long non-coding RNA is filed under the name Medicago truncatula (barrel medic). RNAcentral describes it as "long non-coding RNA (MTRU_LNC006298)". The record is from RNAcentral. Lineage: Eukaryota; Viridiplantae; Streptophyta; Magnoliopsida; Fabales; Fabaceae.